UCGGAUAUGGUGUAACGGCUAACAUUGCCGCCUCUCACAGGAAACUGUAAAGGAUAUUCUCCGGGAUAUUUCAUUUGCGGAUUCAAAUCGCGGCAGCUCGGGGUUCGAUUCCCCGUAUCCGAA
Molecule: non-coding RNA, 123 nt
Organism: Russula ochroleuca
Lineage: Eukaryota; Fungi; Basidiomycota; Agaricomycetes; Russulales; Russulaceae
Source: the annotation of a GenBank genome assembly